CCUACGGGGCGCUGCAGUGAGGAAUAUUGGUCAAUGGGCGCGAGCCUGAACCAGCCAAGUAGCGUGAAGGAUGACUGCCCUACGGGUUGUAAACUUCUUUUAUCAAGGAAUAAAGUGCGGCACGUGUGCCUUUUUGUAUGUACUUUAUGAAUAAGGAUCGGCUAACUCCGUGCCAGAAGCCGCGGUAAUACGGAGGAUCCGAGCGUUAUCCGGUUUUAUUGGGUUUAAAGGGUGCGUAGAUGGGUUGUUAAGUCAGUUGUGAAAGUUUGCGGCUCAACCGUAAAAUUGCAAUUGAUACUGGCAGUCUAGAGUGCGGUUGAGGUAGGCGGAAUGCGUGGUGUAGCGGUGAAAUGCUUAGAUAUCACGAAGAACUCCGAUUGCGAAGGCAGCUUACUAAGCUGCCACUGACAUUGAUGCUCGAAAGUGUGGGUAUCAAACAGGAUUAGAUACCCUAGUAGUC
This 460-nucleotide ribosomal RNA is filed under the name uncultured bacterium. Its description in RNAcentral is "partial 16S ribosomal RNA". It matches the Rfam family "Bacterial small subunit ribosomal RNA", at positions 338 to 795 of the family's 1533-position model. The record is from RNAcentral.